RNAcentral lists this ribosomal RNA (735 nucleotides) under uncultured Fusobacterium sp. RNAcentral describes it as "bacterial SSU rRNA". It matches the Rfam family "Bacterial small subunit ribosomal RNA", at positions 28 to 776 of the family's 1533-position model. Lineage: Bacteria; Fusobacteriati; Fusobacteriota; Fusobacteriia; Fusobacteriales; Fusobacteriaceae. The record is from RNAcentral.
GAUGAACGCUGACAGAAUGCUUAACACAUGCAAGUCAACUUGAAUUUGGGUUUUUAACUUAGAUUUGGGUGGCGGACGGGUGAGUAACGCGUAAAGAACUUGCCUCACAGCUAGGGACAACAUUUAGAAAUGAAUGCUAAUACCUGAUAUUAUGAUUUUAAGGCAUCUUAGAAUUAUGAAAGCUAUAAGCACUGUGAGAGAGCUUUGCGUCCCAUUAGCUAGUUGGAGAGGUAACAGCUCACCAAGGCGAUGAUGGGUAGCCGGCCUGAGAGGGUGAACGGCCACAAGGGGACUGAGACACGGCCCUUACUCCUACGGGAGGCAGCAGUGGGGAAUAUUGGACAAUGGACCGAGAGUCUGAUCCAGCAAUUCUGUGUGCACGAUGAAGUUUUUCGGAAUGUAAAGUGCUUUCAGUUGGGAAGAAAAAAAUGACGGUACCACCAGAAGAAGUGACGGCUAAAUACGUGCCAGCAGCCGCGGUAAUACGUAUGUCACAAGCGUUAUCCGGAUUUAUUGGGCGUAAAGCGCGUCUAGGUGGUUAUAUAAGUCUGAUGUGAAAAUGCAGGGCUCAACUCUGUAUUGCGUUGGAAACUGUGUAACUAGAGUACUGGAGAGGUAAGCGGAACUACAAGUGUAGAGGUGAAAUUCGUAGAUAUUUGUAGGAAUGCCGAUGGGGAAGCCAGCUUACUGGACAGAUACUGACGCUGAAGCGCGAAAGCGUGGGUAGCAAACAGG